Molecule: long non-coding RNA, 1679 nt
Filed under: Panax ginseng (ginseng)
Lineage: Eukaryota; Viridiplantae; Streptophyta; Magnoliopsida; Apiales; Araliaceae
Description: long non-coding RNA (PGIN_LNC011061)
Source: RNAcentral
GAGAAUAUAUAUGCAAUAAAUUUUAUAAAGACUGAUUGUAAAUUGGUGUUUUUACAAUAUUCAAUAUGAAUGUCAACUCUACAAUUUAAGAGAAAAUUAAGGAGAUUUGAUUAUGUAAGUUGGGUCUUGGCUUGAGUCUUGGGGGAGGUGUCUCUUUCAAGUCUAAGCCAGCUCCUUGGGCUCAAUAUGCUAGAAUCUUGACUGCUAAAGAUUUCCCAACUUUGGUUUCCAAGUCUCCUUCUUCAUCAUCUUCUGAUGUCACUAAAGCUGCUAAUAAUAAUAACAAUAAUAUCUCCUCAGCUGGUUCCAAGAGAAUUGCUGCUGAGUCUGUUUCACCCCCCAGCGGCACCACAAGGUAUAUUAAUUUUUUUUCUUAGAAAACCCUUUUUUUUAUUUGUUGGUUUGGUUUUAAAUUUCUUAUAUGCACUAUUUGUUUCAAUAUUUUGUUGUUCAUUUCAGCUGUUUUCUUAUCCUGCUACAUAUCUGUGCUUGUGUGGGUAUUUGUGUUCAAGUGAUUAUGUGUUUUUAGUUUGUAGAUUUUGAUGAACUUAUUUUUUUUUUCUUUCUAACAUUUCAAUUCCCUAUAGUUGGUUUUCCUGGAAUCUGAUUCCUAAGGUAAAAUGUUAUGUUACCUUCUCUGUUUUGCUUUUUUCUUUAUUUUGUCCUAACUGAUCUCUACUGCCUAGCUAUCAAAUGAUAACCAUAUAAUAAACAUGAAAAAUUCUUUACAAAGGAGGUUUUAAUUGUACAUGUUGGGUCAAAUUUAGGAGACGAUCAGUUAUUCCUGCUUAUCUUUUGUUAUUUUUGAUAUAUAACACAGCCAAAAAGAGCAUUUAAACAGGGGCUUAUAAAAAUGUCCCGUCACCAGAGAUUUUCAUUGAAUCCAAUUUGAUUCAAACUUCAUAAAAUUGAUUUUAAACUCAGUUUGAUUUACCUAACCAACUUGGGUUACAUCAUAACACAUCUAUAAAUAUUACCUAGUCCUAAUCAUUGAGUAAUUUUCAAUUUUUACACAUCUUAACCUCUUUGGGACAAAUUUUCAAACACCCUAAGGGCAUAGCCUAUACUUUCAGAAUUCAUAGAGGUUUAGGCAUGGUUCUAGCCAAAAAAAUUCCAUAGAAGUACUUCACAACACAUAGUUUCCCGACCAAACACAUCAAUUUCAGAAUAACAAACAUUAUGUAAACUUUUAAUUUCCAUAAAAUUAACCAAAUACAUGGCUUACCUUACAAAAGAUUAGUUUGAUGUAGUCUUAGCUUGAUAACCAGUCUAUGAAAUCUUUCUUUACUGCUGCUGAUCUUAAUCCCUUCCCACGUUAGCUUGCAACUUCAAUUCUUUAAUGCCUUCAUUAGUUCCAACCGAAAUUAAGAGGAUUUUGAUAAAAGUUUGGGAGUUGUGGAAACUUGACAAUUAGAUCUAACAAAACCCACAAAAAUCUAACAAAACCUUAACAGCACAAAGGGUUUUUAAAAAAAAAUCAACAAAGAUUUGAAGAAGAAGCAAGCAAAAGGGAAUGAAGAAGAAACCCUUGGUUCCGUGUUUUAGGGUGGAGAGAAUGAAGAAGAAGAAGAAGAAGAAGAAGAAUGAAGAAGAAUCCAGCAAAAAUCAACAAAAAUUUGAAUAUUUGAAGAAGAAGCAAGCAAGAAAUCAAUAGAGGUGGAGAGAAUGAAGAAAAAGCG